This 431-nucleotide ribosomal RNA is filed under the name uncultured bacterium. RNAcentral describes it as "partial 16S ribosomal RNA". It matches the Rfam family "Bacterial small subunit ribosomal RNA", at positions 29 to 507 of the family's 1533-position model. The record is from RNAcentral.
AACGAACGCUGGCGGCAGGCUUAACACAUGCAAGUCGAACGCCCCGCAAGGGGAGUGGCAGACGGGUGAGUAACGCGUGGGAACAUACCCUUUUCUACGGAAUAGCUCUGGGAAACUGGAAUUAAUACCGUAUACGCCCUACGGGGGAAAGAUUUAUCGGGGAAGGAUUGGCCCGCGUUGGAUUAGCUAGUUGGUGGGGUAAAGGCCUACCAAGGCGACGAUCCAUAGCUGGUCUGAGAGGAUGAUCAGCCACAUUGGGACUGAGACACGGCCCAAACUCCUACGGGAGGCAGCAGUGGGGAAUAUUGGACAAUGGGCGCAAGCCUGAUCCAGCCAUGCCGCGUGAGUGAUGAAGGCCUUAGGGUUGUAAAGCUCUUUCACCGAUGAAGAUAAUGACGGUAGUCGGAGAAGAAGCCCCGGCUAACUUCAUG